UUUUUUACUUCUCUUUCUCUUCGAAAUCGUUUUCUUUUUUCUCUCCAAAACGGCGAAAGCUUCGUGGUCACCAUCUUCGCCGACUAAAAGCUACAAGGUGAGAGAGAAGUCCAUUUCUGUCACCGGAGAGGGAAGAAAUUAAAUGGCGGUGAUGUUAAUCGGAAGAGCUUUUAAAUCGGUUAGAAACUCUUCUAAUCUGGUCGUUCGUGCUCGAUCCUUGUGUACGACAUCCGCCGCUCGUCAACCCGAUUCCGAUACUCAGCCAUCAGAAUCUUCUUCGUCUUCGUCGUUCACGUUCGAGAAAGAAAUUGAGAAACCCGUCUUAGUUCUGUAUCGAUGAUAGAUGCUAAGAAGGAGAAGCAUCAGAUGUAAUGGGAACUGCUGAAUGGAGAGCCAUGAAGAGUCCAUCUUACUACAAGCGUGGUGAUUAUGUUCCUGGACUCAAGAACGAAACUUUCAAUGGACAUUACAAGAAAGCCCGAAGGUUUUGGUUUUAAAACUGCAGGGAUUUGAUUUUUAAAACUACAGGUUUUGGUUUUGGAAACUGCAGUUUCUGUUUUGAAUACUUUCAGGUUUUGGAUUCACUGGUGUUUUCAGGCUGCCUCUAGUUGAUGGUUGCAGAUUGUUGGACCGUUUAGUUUCAGAGUGGAGUCUGGAAUUCAGAUUGAUCUGAAGAAUGGAGCUAACCCCGCGACUGUAGAUAAGAUAGUAUUUGCUAUGGAAUAUGCUAUUCAAGUGCUUGCUUCUGCCAAGGCUGUUGCUUGGUUCUCCCACAACAGAAAGAAUUCAUGGUUGAGCUUCGUUUCUUUGAGAUAUAGUAUCAGGACUUUCCACUCAAAAUGUCUAGCUUGAUCCUAUGAAGAUUGUAGUCGUCUUGCAGAGAAGUAAAUAGACAAUGUUUGAUUUUUUUUUCAGUUUCUUAUGUUAAACAGAAGAAUGAUUUAAUAGAAGGGAAGUUUACAUCUUACAUUA
Non-coding RNA from Camelina sativa (false flax), 972 nucleotides. Lineage: Eukaryota; Viridiplantae; Streptophyta; Magnoliopsida; Brassicales; Brassicaceae. The record is from RefSeq and is a predicted model, not a curated record.